AUUGAACGCUGGCGGCAGGCUUAACACAUGCAAGUCGAGCGGGGGAAGGUAGCUUGCUACCGGACCUAGCGGCGGACGGGUGAGUAAUGCUUAGGAAUCUGCCUAUUAGUGGGGGACAACAUCUCGAAAGGGAUGCUAAUACCGCAUACGUCCUACGGGAGAAAGCAGGGGAUCUUCGGACCUUGCGCUAAUAGAUGAGCCUAAGUCGGAUUAGCUAGUUGGUGGGGUAAAGGCCUAACAAGGGGACGAUCUUUAGCGGGUCUGAGAGGAUGAUCCGCCACACUGGGGCUGGGACACGGCCCAGACUCCUACGGGAGGCAGCAGUGGGGAAUAUUGGACAAUGGGGGGAACCCUGAUCCAGCCAUGCCGCGUGUGUGAAGAAGGCCUUAUGGUUAUAAAGCACUUUAAGCGAGGAGGAGGCUACUCUAGUUAAUACCUAGGGAUAGUGGACGUUACUCGCAGAAUAAGCACCGGCUAACUCUGUGCCAGCAGCCGCCGUAA
Molecule: ribosomal RNA, 501 nt
Filed under: uncultured bacterium
Lineage: Bacteria
Description: partial 16S ribosomal RNA
Rfam family: Bacterial small subunit ribosomal RNA
Source: RNAcentral